Molecule: long non-coding RNA, 14186 nt
Filed under: Marmota monax (woodchuck)
Lineage: Eukaryota; Metazoa; Chordata; Mammalia; Rodentia; Sciuridae
Source: RNAcentral
GGAGUCAGGUCCCCUCCCUCCAUCCUGCCCCGCCACAGCUCAUCCAAAUUCUUGUGGCAUCUCUGAGUUCUUCUUUCUCAUCACAAAAUCCCAACCACCCCGGACGCGUCUCCUUGCACUUCCCCUACCGCAGGCACACAUUCAGUGCCCGGCACCUGGAGCGAACCUGUGCCCCCGCGUGGGCCCCGGUGACCAAUUGUGCACGGACUGGCCAGGCUAUCCCUGCUGCAAAUGGACGACGAUACCCCUGCACCUCAGCUGGGGUGAAGCGUUCGGGAGCCCUGACCCUUUUCUCCCCCGAGGUCCUCUCCAUCCUGAUGUAAACCGGUGGCUGUGACCAGGCACCCACAGGAAAGGGGGCGCCAAGCCCUCCUCCCCACGGAUCUGAGCCAUUGGAUCAGAUACUUGUAGAUGUUGGAGGAAUGCACCUGAGAUGUUGGGGAGAAGGGAGGAGAGGGAGCCCCCAUUCUUCAUAAGUCCUUAAAACGCUCCCCUUCAUAGAUGGGAAAAUGGAGCCCUAAAAGAAGAUCAGUCCAAAGAAAGUGCCAAAACCAGGUACUCCGAGCCGAGGAGCGUGGAAGGAAUCCACCAUGACACCCCUCGGCCUAGCCCAGAAGGGGUGACCAUCCUAGAGGAGGUGGGGAAAUGGAGCCAGGUCUUUGGCCCUCCCAGGUCUUGGGCUGCCAGGGGCCCAGGCCUCCCUCCCUCCCUCCCUCUUGAGGCCCUGGGAGACCCACUUUGGGUCUCUGAGCAGGAGCUGGGCAGAGAAUCCAGGGUUUUGGCCGCCACAGGGGAAACCUGGGCUCAGAACUGCCGCGUGAGUCAUGCCUACCCGGGGAGCAGCUGACGCUCCGUCUGCGCCUUACAAAACCACAACAGGCUGCCGAGUGACAGCCGGCUGCCCGAGUGUCGAGGAAUGCUGUUGCCAGACAGGUUUCCGAGGCCCCUGCGAGCGGGCUCCAAAGAGCAGGCCUGGGCUGCUGCCACGCAGGCGGCAGGCACAGGCCAACUCACCCCUCCUCACCGCAAGGACCCCUCAACCUCAACAUAGCCCCCUGCCAGGAGUCCCUGAAGCCAGCCACCACUCCUAGGGCAGCCACCGCUUCCAAGCCAGCACUAAGUGAAGACUGUGACUUGGGGCAGCCACCCCCCCAAGCAAGAGUGGGGGCCAGGAAGGUUGAAGGGCUCCCCACUCCUGACAAGUCUGCCAUCACCACAGACCUCCCUGCACCAUAAAUAAGUUCCUACUAAAAAUGGUAACAGCCGUGACACUGACAAGCCCUCACACAGCGCUCACUGUGGCCAUGCCCAGAAUUGCAGCACUGAGUACUUUUGCUGCGUGUGUAUUAGUUUCACUGUGGCUGCUGUAAUAAAAUGACCACAAACUGGAUGUAAGCUUAAAACAACAGAAAUGUCAGCGGGUGCUAUGAUACACACUUGCAAUCCCAGCUACUCAGGAGGCUGAGGCAGGAAGAUUGCCUAGAUCCAGGAUAUAUUUGUGUUGGUUUUUAUUUUUGUUUUUGUGCUGGGAUUGAACUCGGUGGCACUCUACCGCUGAACUACAUCUCCAAUCCUCCCCCUCCCCCCAACACUUUUAAAUUUUAUUUUGAGACAGGGUCUUGCUAAGUUGCCAAGGCUGGCCUUGAACUUGUGAUCCUCUUGCUUCAGCCUUCUGAGUCAUUGGGAUUACAGGUGGGCUCCAUGGUGCCCAUCUGAUUAACAGGGCUUGUCCCCCCCAGGUCCAGCACACUCCACAAGGAACGGAAACACCUUCUGAGGCCUUCUGAGCUGGCAGAGGCUAUCUGCCUGGUGUGAUCUAUGACACUGUUGUGUUUCCUGAUAACACCCAGCUCGGCUUCUCCUGCCAAGCUCAUAAAAGGUACGUAAAGCUGCGGCUUGGUUGACCUCACCAGGUACCAGCGCCAUCCUGACUGUCUUUCCCAGCUGCAGGGCCAGCUGUGUGAGUGGAUACGGGGUGGAGAAAAUCCAGCUCAAGAAUCCACAAGUUCUUACCGCGGAGCUGAGCAGGGGCUCGGGGAAGACAGCACGGGCCGGUGGGCGCUGUUCUCAGGGCUCCCAAUGCAGCAGGUGCCCAGUCCUCAGCCCUGGGUUGGCCGGGCCCCAGGCAGAACCCAGCAUUUUCUCACUUAAUUCUCACAAGGGCCCCACUAACAAGGUGACAUCCAUUUUUCCAGAUAAGGAAGCUCAUUCUGCUGGCUGGAAGCCAAACCAGAACUUGGUCCCAGCUCUGCCUGGGCCUUGGCCUAUAACAAGGGCUCGUGGAGGGCGGGAGGCCCCUGGAUGGGGAGCACCUUAGAGGAUGGAAGACUCGAAUGGGGCCGAGGGAGGACAGGGCUGAGGAUCAGGAGACUAGGGCACAUGAUGUGGCCCAGGCAGGAAGGUGGGACCACCUGUCUGGACGCUGCCACUGGCAGCCACAGUCUUAAUAUGCAAAGAGACUGCGUUGCCUUCCAAUUUGAAAAGCCUGCAUGGCUUUCCAUGAAGUUGAUGACAGAAUCCAAAAUCCUUCUAUGAUCAACAAGGCCCUGCAAGGACAGCCAGCAGUCUCCCCCUCAGCUCAGCUCCAGCCACACCGGCCCCUUCCUGCUCCCCAGACAUGCCACUGGGCCUUUGCACUUGCUGUUCCCUGUGCCUGCAGUGCCCUUCCCUCAGCUCCACAGCAUCGCAGCUCAGGGGUCCCCUCCUCAGAGUAGCCUUAGGGUGGGUGGCCCCCAUUACUCUCCAUCUUACCUCCCCACUUUGUUAUCUUCCUCCUACUCACUUCCACCUGCAAUAAUCUGUGUAUGGACCACCUGUUCCUUAAUUGUCCUUGUCCCAUGAAGGUGAGGACUUGCUCUUGUUCCUGGUGACCUCAGCACCCCUCACUGUGACGCACACAUAGCAGGUCCUCAGCAGAUAGUCACUGAAUGAAUAAAUGGACGAAUUCAAUAGAGAAUGCAGAGUCACAGACAGAUCGCAGACAAACAGACACUGGGACCCUGGGCUGGCGGGAGGAGGUGGAGAGGGGAGUGGCCUGGGAGAGCAGGGGGCAGCUGGGCCAAGCCUGGAGGACUUCCUGGAGGAGAGUGGCCCAACCCUGUGAGGGGAUGCCUGGCUCUGGCUGCAGCACUGACCGGGGCAGAGCCCCUUAGUCCACAUCGUCCUGCCCAGCCCAUAAUUGCAACUUGGGUUAAGAGGCAGAGGUUUCAAAGUGAAUCUUCACCCUGUGAUUCUCUGUGCCCAUUUGCUGGACUUCUCCAUGGUUCUGAGGCUAACUGCCCCUUGCCUCUUGUAGGCCUGGGGAAAGCAAAAGGCCAGCCCUGUGUCUCCAGGUGCCUGUGGGGGGCAGGGGUGUCCUGAAGGGUAGGGGAGGGCUAAGGGCCCCGAGGACAAUUGGUAGGCCUGAGAGUUCCAGAAGUAGACAGGAACUAAAUCACCAAGAAAUUCUCUAAAUCACCAAGAAGUUCUUCAGGGCACCAGAGCCCAGGGGUUCAGAAAAUGUGCUCUGGGGUUGACAUCAGGGCCACUUCUCAGUGGCCAAGCAACCUCAGGCUAGCCCCUUGACCUCUCUGGACUUGCACAGAAAGAAGAUAAGCCCACACUUGUCCUGCAAAGGAUUGCUGGAGGAUGAAUGAGCCAAGGCACACAGGAGGCGCUCAAUACCUGCAGCACUUCUUAGGGGCCGGUUAUGUGCCCGAGUACUGUGGGAGGCACCUUCAUUCUGAGAAAUAGUGGCCUGGCCUCUUCAGAAGUGUCAAUGUCAUGAAACACACAGAAGCCCUCAGGGACUGCUCCAGAUGGAAGGAGGCUGAAGAGAGACAAGUGCACACAAAACCUGAGUGUGAGCUUCUGUUUGCUUCAGAGGACACUCUUGGGACGACUGGCAAAUCCCCGUGUGGACUGACGGUGCGAUGGUCAUGGGGUUUUGACAUUCAUUUCCUGAUUCUGAUGGUUGCACACUGGUUAUCAGAGAGAACGUCUUGCUUUUAGGGACACACACUGACAGAUCUGAGGGGAGCGAGGCAGGUCUGUGUCCUCUUGAAUAGUUCAGGGGAAGAAAAAAUGUUAACAUGAAAGUAGUCACCGGUUAACGCUCGGGAAAAAGUUAAAAGAAAUGGUGGAGGAGGGUAUUUGGGAAUUCUUUGUAUUAUUUUUGCAACUUUUCUGUAAUUAUAAAAGUCGAGAGAGAGAGAGAGAGAGAGAGAGAGAAUCUGAAAAAUAGAGGAAAUGCAUGACCCCUCUCUUGAAAGGUCACAGAGACCUGGCAGGAGGGCAUAUCUUUCUGGUGGCGGGCCUCCAGCAAAGGUGACCAUUAACCUCUGACGUGAUGCUACAAGUGGAAAAUCCCACACCUGACCUCAUGUGACGAGUCACAGAGUGUAGAUGCGCUAAAAAUGUCAAAAUUGCUCAGGAGUCUGAGACUGCAGGAUUGCAAGUUCAAGGUCAGUCUGGGCAAUUUAAAGAGACCCUGUCUCAAAAUAAAAAAUACAAAGGGCUGGGGAUGUAGCUCAGUGGCGGAGCACCCCUGAGUUCAAUCCCUAACAUUGCAAAAUAAAAAAAAAAUAAGGAAAUAAAUAAAUGUCAUUCAUACAUACACACACAUAUGUAUGCCUACAUGUAUACACACACACACACACACACACACACACAAUUACCUUUAAGCCAUGUGUAUAAGGUAUAUCUGAAGCAAAAGAAUUUCCUGUUUGGUUACCCUCUCUAAAAGAUCUCAUUAUAUAUAUGCAAAUAUUCUAGAAUCUCCCCAAACUCUGAAAUGUGAAACACUGAUCCCACAACACUCUGGUUGAAGGGAUCCUCAACCUGCAGAUGAAUGCAGCAGGUGCCUAAUGAACCUCCAGUGCCCCACGUGAGUGAGUCUCUCUGCUGUGGGGGCGGGGAUGGUGUCACCAGGGCUAUACCCUCAGUCAGGGCCAUGGCAAGUACGUAGGCCAAGGAUAGACUGGACACCAAGAGCUGGGCCAGCAACUUCCUGACAAAAUAAGGUGUUCCCUGCAAACUAACAAGGUCCCGGGUGGCCAGGAGGCCCUUGGCUGAGGUGACCCGAGGCCCCGUGGGUGGAAUGAGGCAGGCAGAAGGGGAGGCCAGCGCUGUCCAGGCCCUCGGGCAAAUAGCUAACCUGCAUCUGCAGCCCACUGGGCCCUGGCGGCAGCGGGACCCCACCCCAAGGAUGAAUGAACAGUGACGGUGGCCAAGGAAUGUGGCCUACAGCGCAGAGCAACGCAGCCCAGCCCGGCCUAGCCCAGUCUGCCUGGCAGGUUGUGGCCCAGCCCCUGCGGGCCACCUCAGGCUGCUGGGCCUCACGGAUGACCUCCUGGGGCCUCCCCUCCUGUGACCUGUCCAGGGGCGAGCGUCACACCUGAGUGGGUGGAGAGGUGCUGUCUUCAGUCCCAUGACUCACCAUCCGCUUCUCUCCCCUCCAGACGCAGGGUGUCAGGGCUACAGCAAGGCUUGUCCCCAGCCUGGAAGGACUCCCAGGAGGGAAAGUGGGGCUUGCACUCGAGCUUUGGGCUCCAUUCAUGAAAGCCGAGAAGCGUGUGAUUACCAGAGGAUACGAGCUUGCCUGCGACAAGCUGCUAAACCCCAGGAGCAGGACGCCACUCCACUUAACACCCGCGGCUGCCGCGGGGCCAGCAGUGACUCAGGCCCUGACCUCGGCCGCCUGCUUAAUUUAGAGCAGUGGCAGCUGCCCCCCUCCCAAAAUUAGCUGCCCUGUUCAGCCUCGGUCCUGCCACUCACGGGCCUCUGAGCGCCGGCACUUUGGAAAUCCAGUGGGCACAGGGCUCUGGGAGGUGUUCUCCACCCAAGUUCAAGUUCAAGUAGUACCAGCUUUGGUGGGAAGUCACUCUCCUCCUCCCACUCACCUCUGGCCUCCAUCGCCUCCUCUGAGACUAUCACAGCCACCAGGCCCAGGGAUCCCUCCCAGGCACAGUCCCCAUUUAUAAGUUGACACUAAAAAGUUUCACAGCACUUCAUUUCCACUCUUAACCCCCAGGAGCCUCCGCGUCCCACAUACAGACACCUUGGUUUCCUCCCUCCUUGUUUUUUUCUUUGCAGUGCUAGGGUUGAACCCAGGGCUUCAUACAUGCCGGGCAAACCCUCUACCACUGAGCCAUAUCCCCUACCCUCCUUUAUUUUUAUUUUGAGACAGGGUCUCACUAAGUGGCCCAAGCUGGCCUCGAACUUUCAAUCCUCCCGCUGCAACCUCCCAAGCUGCUGAGAUUACAGGCGUGCACUAUCACUUCCAGUGGCUGUGCUUCUUUCAAAGAGUGAACUUCUCCAGCUGAUUUCACCAGUUCCCUUGACACGGAUAAUUGAGUUAUUUCGAGUCCCUUGCAACCACAAUGCUUCUCGGAUCAUCCAGGCACCUGGAUCUCUGUUCUCAUGUGUAGCAGGUAUUCCUAGGAGUGGAACUGCUGGCAUUACCAUGUUGGUGUUUGUGCUGGGGUUUGAACCCAGGGCCUUGUGCUUGCUAAGCAGCUACUCUGCCACUGAGCUCCACCCAGCCCCAGCAGAGGAACAUUUUAAAUUUUAGUUAGGAACAACCACACCUUUGAACAUUGAAUGAAAAAUAAGAACUGCGCCUAUGUGAUUAUUUUGCAUUCAAUGUCUGGAUGGAGGCUCACAGACUCCACAUUAAGAAGUCUUAGAAGGGCCAGGAGUGGUAGUGCACGCCUGUAAUCCCAGGGGUUAGGGAGACUGAGGCAGAAAGAUUGCAAGUUCAAAGCCACUUAGGGAGGCCCUAAGCAAGUUAGCAAGACCCUGUCUCAAAAUUAAAAAUAAAAAGGGCUGGGGAUGUGGCUCAGUGCUUAAGCACCCCUGUGUCCAAUCCCUGGUACCCCCAUAUCCCCCCGCAAAAAAAGUCUUGGAAACGAGAACUAGAACUUGUACAGGAAAAUUGUGUCCAGCCUCUGCUCCUGCGAGGGCGUUUGACUCGGUCCCUCCACAGGAAGCCAGCCUGUUCUGCUGUCACCGCUGGAGGAGAUGCAGUUCCGUGCUGAUUCCAGAAGUCAGAUUCUUUGUCACGCUCCACUGCCAGGGCACAUACCUCUCAUAGAUGGCCUCGGGCUCCCAGGACGUGGCUGUCGCUGUCCGGCAGAAGUGCCAGGCCAGGGUUGCUCCUCCUCAGGGCGCUGGGGUGUGGGGUCCUGGGGCCCUGGUGGCCCCUGCGCAGCUGCCAUCUCGGGACUAUGAAACCGGACCCUGCUCAGGGAAGGCUCUGGGGCUCACACGCUCGUCAGCCGUUAAUAUUUCAGCAGCCACCAAGGACUCAGGUUAACAGACGCCACUUCAGGAAAGCACCGGGCCAAACACGGACCCCGUCAUCUUCCUCUUGGGGUCCACGUGAGACUGCAGGAUUCCACCAGGGAAGGCUAACUGGACAUGCAGCCCGCGGCGGUCAGCCUGGGGCCAGCAGGCUCAGGUGUGACCUCGGUGCCCUUGGGAGCCAGGAGCUUCCCUUGGCCAUGGGCCACAUCCUAGUGACCAGCUGGCUCUGUGUCCACCAUGAAGACGUCGCAAGGGCUCUGGCUGACCAUCCGCUGGGCCGUUCACCUGAUGGUGCCUCACUCAGCACAGUUUCCGCAAAUCUGGAGCCAAACAGCGGCCCCAGCCUGGCACGGUGGAGACACUGGGCACCUGUGACCCUUCCCACUUCCUUCCCCUCUAAGUUCCUGGAGCUCAAACUCUCUCGGUGCCUCACACUGCCCGUGUGACACGUCACAGAGGUCUUCAAGACCACGGCCUCCCUGGUGGUGUGACCAUUUCCAGAAGCAGUGGUGUCAUCUGCCUGGGCUUCAGCAACCAUGAGGCACUGGGUGGAAACUCCCCUGGGCCCUUCCAGUGAGCAGAGACCAUGUCUAGAGAACAUUCUAGAAAACAUGUGUCUCUGACGCUCUGCAGAGGAAGGGACUGAGAACUCCCAUUUCUGGAAUUCCAUGUCAGUUCUAGAAGGUUCUACCUUGAAGACUGAAGCCAUUUUGCCAUGUGUGACUCAUACCAAGAAAAAAUAAAAAUAAAACCGAGCUUCGACUUCGAGGAUCACGACAUCCCAGAAGCCCCUGGAGCAUCUGGGAGGAGCGACCCCUUGUUUCACCCAACAACACCCGGAGACAAGUUCUGUGUGUGAAACCGUUUUCAGAUGAGGAAAUUGAGGUAUGGAAAGGCCAAACACUUGCCCAAGUUCCCCUGCCGGUGAGCAGCAGGCCCAGGACUUGCUACUCAAGGAGCCGCCCACUUUGGGAGGCUGAGCAGCCUCCCUGAGCAGCCUCCCCAAGGAACAAUGGAUAGAGAAGCAGCCCCACACUCCUCCUCCUGACGAGUGCCUGUCACACAGUGCUUCACCCAUGUCACCUGGUGUCACCUGCCCCCUGAGGUGGCUAGCAUGAUGAUGUCCCUCUCCCAGGCGAGGAAGCCAACCAGCAGCAACCUGCCCAGCGAGUCAGCCGCAGAGCAGGGACUGGCCUAGGGCUGUGCCAUCUUCAGAGCCCUCUCUGGGCAGCGCACGUGGCGGCCCGUGUGCAGACAGCCCUGAGAAAAUGGAGUGAGCCAGUCAGGCCCAGGAGGCGGCGUGGGCUGUGGGAGGGAGCAGGGGCCAAAGCUCGCCUCUGCCUUCACCAAGAUCUGCUCUUCAUGGUCUAGCGAGGUGGCACCUGGCAGGGCCCCUGGCGCUGGGCUGGGGUCUGAGCCUGGCUUCUGGCCCCAGCUCUGCCCUGACAGGUCCAGUCUCUCUGCAGGCCUGGGCAGAGCCCCGAGGACCCUCUGCCCUGAUUGUGAGGCAGGAGCAGGAAGCAGGGUGACAGCACCGACUGCUGCCCACAGUGUCCUUUCAGUAGGUGCCUGAGGAGCAGCCCACUCCCGGGAGGCACUCACCCCUCCCCAAACUAGCCCCUCCACACACAGCACCCCCAGCCCCCGCAGAGGGCAGGGACGGCGGUACCACUGCUGGAGUACCAGCUAGAUACCAGGAGUGACAGGCUGCCUCUGUGCUGGCCACUUGCCAUGGAUUCAAGCAGACACUGUCACUGUACCCAUUUUACACACGAGAAGACUGAAGCUCCGAAAGUCAACUUGCUCAAGGUCACCACCGACCAAACACAAGGCCAGCUGACCCCAGUGGGCACAGUGCCUUGGGCCCACAGCACUUUGAGGGGCCCAGGAAAAUGUUUAACUUCACUCAAAUCAAAAGAGGAAAAAAUGAACUUUUAAAGUAAAGACAAUGCUUUCAGAUAUAACACUAAUAUAUUCACCUUUAUACCAAUACAGCAGCAAAAUAUAGUUAACAUUUUUUUUUUCUCUUUUAGUAAGGAAAGGGAUUGACAAAGGCCAAAGUGCCCGGGGUUUGUGGAAGUCACCACAUACUCACAGGCAGAACUUGAACUCAGAGCUGUUCCCUUCAAAGGUCCUGUCUGUCAAAGAAUCCUCCAGUGUCCUCCCAGCCUCUAAGGGGGACAAGCUGGGGGAGCUGAAGGGUCUACCCGUGUCCCUGGGAGCGUCACAGCCAGACACCCAGCUGGCCACAAUCCCAAGUGGGCAAGCUGGCCGGGCUCGAUUCCUGGCCUUCCAAGAAGCUGCUGGAGCAGAGAGACAUUUCAGGAGACUCCUUCAGGGAGAGAAGGCAGAGAACAAAGAGAGCCGGGGUAGGUGCUCACUCCUAAGCCGGAACACAUAGACAAGAAUGAUAAAGAUUAUCUGGAAGAACAUUCCAACUUUUCUUCUUCACUUGAAAGAAAACAGGAGGCAGCCUCCACCAUGGGAAUUCUGCCUAUGAAAGUCCAGGAAUAGCCCAAGGAGACAAAGAGUGCUGGCUUUGAGGAUACCCAGACCUGGGUUGAGUCCAUACUCGGCUAUUUAGUUUGCUAUGUGGCCUUGAAAAAGUUGCUUGACCUUUCUGAUUCCAUUUUCCCUUUUGUAACAUGGGAAUAAUAGCAACCCCAACCCCCAUAGGGGGUUGUAGUGAGAAUUGGCUGAAAUUUAAAAAUUUCUAUAUAGUAAAGCCCUUGCAAGGACUAAAAAAAAAACCAAAAGAAUAUUCACUUAUUUCUUGGGGAAAGAAAAAAAAAAAAACCUGAUUUGGACAACCCUAGGGCCUUGAGCAAUUAUGCCGUGGCCUUGCCUAAGACAUUGAUAAAUCUGUGCAGUAACCAGGGUCACACCGAGGGGUCGACCUCUUUCUCCCUCCAGGUCUUUGAGGGGAGUUUAGAGACGAGGUAGUGAUCUUGCUAAUAAAAGAGGUGACUUGCCUCCAAUUAAGGCGUCACCAGAGUCAGAAAUGCAUCAGCUGGGUGACUUGGUGAUUCAUGCCACUCUUGCGCCUUCCAAGUCCAGGAUUGCUCAACCCACGGCAGAAACCGUGAAAUGAGAGCAAAGGCCUGAGUAACAACCAGGUGAGGGUCCCGCACAGGUGAGCAGCCAUCGGUCUAGCAGGAGGGCCUGUCCCCCGGGAGGCUCAGGGCUAGAGUUAGAAUCACGCCAGGAGGAGGAACCCCCAGAGCUCUUGGCUAGACAGCCUCCCCCCGAGAACUGCACCUCCCUCCUGCAACCCGGGUCCCACAGCAGCACAUUUCAAACUGCGCGUGCGCAGGCACAGCCUGGGAUGCCAGUAACACUUGGCUUCAGACUGAGCGGGUCUGGGAUUCUCCUUCCCUUUCCUCCCCUCCUGCCCGUCCCCUCCCUUCCCCUCUGCCCCCUUUUCAUCUCCUUUCCUAGGGCCUUGCCAAGUUGCUGAGGCUGGCUUUGAACUUGUGAUUCUCCUGCCUGAGAAUCCCGAGCUGCUGGGAUUACAGGCGUGCCCCAGAAUUCGUCUGGGCUGAAUUCUGCAUUUCUGACACACUCUGGGCUGGUGCUUCAGAGCAUUAAGGACCCUGACUCUCCUCCUGGCCCCGUGACCUCUUGGGCUGUCCUCCACCAGGAACAUGGCUCAGCUUUACUCAGAAACAUGGGAUCCGAGGACCCAACUGCACUGCUAAAAACUGGAUCCCUUGGGAUCUCUGUUAUUUGUGGGGAUGCAGGGAUAAAAAAUGGAUUCAACAGCAUGGCUGGCACAUACUGUGAUCUCCAUUACUUGGGGGGCCGAGGUAGAAGGAUGGCAAGUUCAAGCCCAGUCUGGGCAACUUAGCAAACCCCUUGUCGCAAGAUAAAAAUGAAAAGGGCUGGGGACCUAGCUGAGUGGCAGAGCAACUGCCUAGCACACGCGAGGUCCUGGAUUUCAUCUCCAGUGUGUGUAUGUACCCACGCAUGUAGCAGGAUAAUUUAUUGAAAAGUUAAAUUUCUUUUCAUCUCAACAUACCUGCUCUACAUACUCUGUUCAGGCAAGUAGCAAGACCCCUUGAUGUCUGCCCUCAACCCCGGUGCUGGGGACUGGAUCCAGGGGUGCUCUUACCACUGAGUUACAUCCCCAGCCUUUUUAUUUUUUUGACACAGGAUCUCACAAAAUUUCCAAAGCUAGCCUUAAACUUGUGAUCCUUCUGCGCUGCUGGAAUGACAGGCGUGCACCACCGUGCGUGGCCUCUGGAUGCCUUCUUGCCCAAGGCUCUCUAAAUUACAACUAAGUACAGAAAUCAGACAAUUCCUUUUAAAAACAGAAGGCUCCAGAUAAAGCUGGGCCCUCUCCCAACACCCCUGCUCCUAGUUGCUAAGGUUUUUUUUUUUUUUUUUUUUUUUUUAAUUUUGCAGGGCUGGGAAUUAGACCCAGGGCCUUGUGCGUGGCAGGCAAGCACUUUACCACUGAGCCACACCCGGCCCCAGAAAGCUGUUUUAAAAGAGGGAUUUCUGCAGAAUCAUCUUGGACUGGGUCUUCCUUUUACAAAAAUAUAAGCCCAGGGGCCCAGGAAGGCAGAAGGAAAGGGGCUCCCAUUUUCCAUCCUGUUGCAGGGCAUGACUGGGGUAUGGGGGAGCAGUAAGGAUAUAAAGGGGGCCUUCCUUCAGCCUCCCCAUCAACGCCACCAGGUCCUGAUUAGAACAGAGCAUGGCCACGGCAUGCUGGAGAGGCAGACCCCAGCUCUCUAGGGGACGUUCCCACCCCCAGGGGCAGCCCUUCACUGGGGAGCAGGGGUAUGUAUCCCACUGGACCAACCCAAAGGCUAAAACCAAGGAGGGGCUUCCAGGCAGUACCUGGGCUUCGGCCCCAAGCAUGCCCCACCUGGCAGGGGCCCCCAGAAGUUGGGUCACCUGUGGUGUCAGCAUCAGGGACAUGACAUGGACAUGGAAAGGCAGAGCCCGUGCCCCUGAUUCUGAAUGAGUUCUCCGUCCUGGUGUUACCUGGGAAGGGAAGGGCCUUCAAAUGACUGAAAAGGAACUUAGGGCCACACCUCCCCAGGGGAAUUUGGGGUGAGCCCCAGGAAGAAUCAGCUGCAAAUUCUAAAGUGCUCUUAUAUCUACUGUGUCAGUCAUGGCUUCUGCAGAAUCGGUGUGCGGGUGUGUCAGCAGGGCACACCCGUUCUGAAUGGAACCCAAAGGUAUCCACUAACGCUAUUCCAUAUUAGAAAUGCAUUCACUUUUUUCUUCUUUUUUUGGUAUCAGAGAUUGAACCCAGGGGUGCUUAACCACAGAGCCACAUCCCCAGCCCUUUUUAUUACUUUGAGGCAGGGCCUCGCUAAGUUGCUUAGGGUCUCACUAAGUUGCUGAGGCUGGCUUUGAACUUGAAUCCUCCUGCCUCAGCUUCCUGAGUCUCUGGGGUUACAGGCAUCUGCCAUUGCGCCUGGCAUAUACCAUUUUAUUUUUAAAGUAAUACACAUACUAUAGUUUUGGAACACGUUAUCAACCUGUUUCAUCCAAAAAAAAAAAUUGCUAAAGGUCACCAUCUGUGGAAACAUCCUGUGCUGCUUCCUUGAGGAGCCACCCUUGAUCUUAACUGUUCUAGGGUUAGGGACCACGAGUUUGUCCCUAAGCAGGCUGUGCUCCCUGGCUUUUUUUUUAAACAUUAAGAAAAAAAUUAUUGCAAAGGUUAUAUACAUUCUAGAGUUCAUUCAUUAUUCAGUAGAAUAUGCACUUUGAUCCUUUUUUUUUCAAGUGAUAAAAUUCAGAACUGUCUCAGAUAAAAAUACCUUUGGGUUCCAUUCAGAACGGGUGUGCCCUGCUGGUCUCACCACCGCGCUCAGAUUCUGCAGAAGCCGUGACGGAUGAGCAAGGCUCCCGCCUCUGCUGUGACUGCCACCCAAGUCCUUCCCCACAGGGGCGGAUCUGGGAAACCAUGGGAGAUACCUGGAUGUGAUUGUAAAAUUCAGGAGGAAAAAAAAAAAGCAAUAAAAAACUUCACGCACUUUCCUCUUUGCCAAGGUUGGCUGACUCCCCAGAGGCCCCUCCGCCCAGUGAGUAAGAAUGAGAAGGAUUUCUUCUUUGUUCUAGGGAUAGUCAUAAGAGAUGCUGCUUCUUCCCCGAAGGGGUUUCAAGGAUAUUUUAGGAGUUGUGAUAGGUGAUGUCAUUAAAAAAAAAAAAGCAGUUUUUUUUGUUGUUGUUGUUUGUUUUCUAGUGCUGGGGAUUGAACCCAGGACCUGAGAAUGCUAAGUAUAUAUGUAUACACACUACCAUCUAAGCUAUGCCCCCACCCCACUUUUUAUUUAAGACAGUUUAGGGUUGGGGUGCCUGGGUUCGACUCCCAGCAUGACAAAGAAGUAAAUAAAAAACACCAAAAUCAAAUCAGCCCAUUUAUCAACAAGGAGAAAAAAAAUGAAUGUGUAUUUAUAGUCUCCCAGCCUGCUCUGAAAUUCAAAGCUGGAAAGCGUUUCAAAAAGCAGCAUAGACACGAGUAUGGAAAGUGAAAACACACGCGCCAGCACCGUCUAUGGUGGUUCAUUCAAUCUCCAUAACAACCUGCGGGGAAACUCUACUCAUUAGCCUUGUUUCUAGAACCUGAAGAGCUGAGUGGUUUUCCAGAGUUUGGGGCCUAACAAAACUCCAGGUCUCCAGGCCCUUGCUCCUGACUCAGGAUGUGCUGACUCCCUGGGGAACAGCCACUGUCCUGAACCUGACGUGCAGAUCACUCUCUUGGGGGGCAACUCAAAGGCUGGUGCCGUUUUCUGGCUGAUCUUCGUCAGAGCCCAUGGUAGAGCUAACAGCAGGAUUCUUCUCUUGAUAAAGAGAAACCCUCGGCCAGGCACAGUGGCACACUCUUGUAAUCCCAGCAGCUUGGGAGGCUGAAGCAGGAGGAUUGGGAGUUCAAAGCCAGCCUCAGC